GUGACAUGUACAAAUCAGCAUAAUGCGCAGCACAAAGCUCUACCUCCUAAUACCUUAUUCAAGAAAAAGGAGAAAUCAGAUACUUGUCUUUGGCUCUCUUGACCAACCAAAAUGGUAAGGCAAAAAAGAAGAGGCAUGGGGUUGUGGCAACCCCUAAAUAGGUUGUUUCUGGACUUCAUUCUACUCAUGGUACGGCAGCAGUUUUCCUCAUGACCCAUAUCACCAACACAACGAAAUCACUCACACAUGAGGACAGCGUGACAAUUUCUGGUUGAUGACAGAAAAUGGACUACUGGAGCCGGGGUAAGCACUGUAUCACGUGAUUGGGACAAGCUUGAGGACAAAGCUGACUCCGUGAGGAUGGCAGGUGGCACACAUGGCUGGAAUGUAGUUCUUCAUGAUACUCUUGAGACUUUAUAUUAACCAGUUCUGAACUCACCACUACUCUGACUUUAUUGUAAUGAAAUUUCUCUACUAUUUAAUAAAGAAUAAUAAAUUUACUUAUUGUUCAACUCA
This is a long non-coding RNA of Lynx canadensis (Canada lynx), 516 nucleotides long. RefSeq lists it as uncharacterized. The record is from RefSeq and is a predicted model, not a curated record. NCBI's taxonomy places the organism in Eukaryota, Metazoa, Chordata, Mammalia, Carnivora, Felidae. The transcript is spliced from 2 exons.